UUAGAUACCCUGGUAGUCCACGCUGUAAACGAUGUCGAUUUGGAGGUUGUGCCCUUGAGGCGUGGCUUCCGGAGCUAACGCGUUAAAUCGACCGCCUGGGGAGUACGGCCGCAAGGUUAAAACUCAAAUGAAUUGACGGGGGCCCGCACAAGCGGUGGAGCAUGUGGUUUAAUUCGAUGCAACGCGAAGAACCUUACCUACUCUUGACAUCCAGAGAACUUUCCAGAGAUGGAUUGGUGCCUUCGGGAACUCUGAGACAGGUGCUGCAUGGCUGUCGUCAGCUCGUGUUGUGAAAUGUUGGGUUAAGUCCCGCAACGAGCGCAACCCUUAUCCUUUGUUGCCAGCGGUUCGGCCGGGAACUCAAAGGAGACUGCCAGUGAUAAACUGGAGGAAGGUGGGGAUGACGUCAAGUCAUCAUGGCCCUUACGAGUAGGGCUACACACGUGCUACAAUGGCAUAUACAAAGAGAAGCGACCUCGCGAGAGCAAGCGGACCUCAUAAAGUAUGUCGUAGUCCGGAUUGGAGUCUGCAACUCGACUCCAUGAAGUCGGAAUCGCUAAUAAUCGUAGAUCAGAAUGCUACGGUGAAUACGUUCCCGGGCCUUGUACACACCGCCCGUCACACCAUGGGAGUGGGUUGCAAAAGAAGUAGGUAGCUUAACCUUCGGGAGGGCGCUUACCACUUUGUGAUUCAUGACUGGG
Molecule: ribosomal RNA, 701 nt
Filed under: uncultured Serratia sp.
Lineage: Bacteria; Pseudomonadati; Pseudomonadota; Gammaproteobacteria; Enterobacterales; Yersiniaceae
Description: bacterial SSU rRNA
Rfam family: Bacterial small subunit ribosomal RNA
Source: RNAcentral